AAACUAUAGUUAAGGAACUCGGCAAAUUAGCCCCGUAAGUUCGCGAGAAGGGGUGCCUAGGGCAACCUAGGCCGCAGUGAAGAGACACCGGCAACUGUUUAUCAAAAACACAGCUCUAUGCAAAGGCGCAAGCCGAAGUAUAUGGGGCGACGCCUGCCCAGUGCUCCAAGGUUAAGAGGAGGGGUUAGCCAGUAGUAAGAUACUGGUGAAGCUCUGAAUUGAAGCCCGAGUGAACGGCGGCCGUAACUAUAACGGUCCAAAGGUAGCGAAACUCCUUGUCAGGUAAGUUCUGACCCGCAUGAAAGGCGUAAUGACUGGUGUACUGUCUCAACUAUAGACUCGGUGAAAUCUUAGUACCGGUGAAGAUGCCGGUUACCCGCAACUAGACGGAAAGACCCCGUGGAGCUUUACUGCAGCUUGAUAUUGGGUUUUUUUCUGGUUUGUGUAGGCUAGGUGGGAGACUUUGAAGCUGACUUCUCAACAGGUCAGUGGAGUCGCAAGGUGAAAGACCACUCUAAUCAGCAGAAGAUUCUAACUUAUUGGUUUACAGCCAAAAGGACAGUGUUUGGUGGGUAGUUUGACUGGGGCGGCCGCCUCCUAAAAAGUAACGGGGGUGUUCAUAAGGUAUCCUCAGUAGGUAUAGAAAUCCUAUGUAGAGCGUAAAGGUAUAAGGAUGCUUAACUGUGAGACUUACAAGUCGAACAGAUACGAAAGUAGGACUUAGUGAUCCGGCGGUUACCUAGUGGUAGGGCCGUCGCUAAACGGACAAAAGUUACCCCGGGGAUAACAGGCUAAUACUUCCCAAGAGAUCACAUCGACGGAAGUGUUUGGCACCUCGAUGUCGACUCAUCGCAUCCUGGAGGUGAAGAAGCUUCCAAGGGUUGGGCUGUUCGCCCAUUAAAGCGGUACGUGAGUUGGGUUUAGAACGUCGUGAGACAGUUUGGUCCCUAUCUGUUGUGGGCGUAGGAAAUUUGCGGAGAUCUGCUCUUAGUACGCAAGGACCAGAGUGGACUGACCAAUGGUGUACCAGUUGUCCUGUCAAGGGCACGGCUGGCUAGCUACGUCAGGUCUAGAUAAGCACUGAAAGCAUCUAAGUGCGAAGCUAACUUCAAGAUAAGAUUUCCCAUCCCGUGAGGGAGUAAGAUACCUUCUAGACCAGGAGGUUGAUAGGUGAAAAAUGUAAGUAUAGUAAUAUAUUGAGUUAAUUCAUACUAAUUUAUCGAGGACU
RNAcentral lists this ribosomal RNA (1228 nucleotides) under metagenome. RNAcentral describes it as "bacterial LSU rRNA". It matches the Rfam family "Bacterial large subunit ribosomal RNA", at positions 1696 to 2925 of the family's 2925-position model. The record is from RNAcentral.